Non-coding RNA from Odocoileus virginianus texanus, 3335 nucleotides. The record is from RefSeq and is a predicted model, not a curated record. NCBI's taxonomy places the organism in Eukaryota, Metazoa, Chordata, Mammalia, Artiodactyla, Cervidae.
UCUUUCUCAGGCCUGUCGCAGUGCAGCGUCCCCACCCUCCCAGCGUCCUGUCUCUUAGCAACCAGAUGCCCUCCAGAGCCAGAACUCCACUCAGAAUGAUCGCCUCUGAGUCCAGAAGAAAGGGAAAAAUAGGGGAGAAAGAACUCAUAAAAGAAUGAAGUUGUUGGUGGCUUUGAUAUACCCGCUUAGCUCAGGGAGACGUCGCCUUGCUAAAGAUCCCAUGUUCUCCUUAUGGCAACCCAGUUUUCAAGUAACACUUUCACACAAACUGAAACUCAGUUAUAAUAGUGAUGAGCCAGCUUAAACUAUGAAGACAAGAACCCACACAGGACAGAUUGCAGAGCAGUAACAGAAAGAACCUGGGUUUUGAAGUUUACCUUGUGAAGCAAAGCUGCCUAACAGACCCUAGACUGCCUGCCUACCUCUGGACUGUUACAUGAGGAAAAGUAUUAAUAUUUUUUCUUCAUUCUGGUCUCUCGUGUUCCAUUGGAGAUAUUGAGUUUCCCAGUUAACUUCAAUCAGAAGCAGAAGUGAAUUCUUUACAAUUAAGCCCUGAUCAGAUUUGGCCUGCGGAAUUUACAGAUUAACAAGGAAUGAAUUCAUAAAGGUUACCAUAAAUGUGAAGAGGCCAGAUACUAUGUGUGAGAGUCAGCACAAGCAACAAGCAUUUUAACUUCGAAGGACUGGAGGAUCUGGAGUUCUUGUCAACACUAACAGAGCAUACUUGAACAUGCAAAUACUACAUACAUGAAAAAUUAACCAGAUUGCAGCACAAAGAGGUGAAAAAUAUGAAAGACAAAGACAUGAAGGGUAGAAUGAGGACUGAACAUAUGUCUAAUAUGAAUUCUACAGAGGACAGAAGAUAAUUGUAAAAUUUCCAGAAUUGAUUAAAGAUGCAUCCAAAGAUCCACAGAUCCUAAAAUCAAAUGUAUGUUGUACAAUAAAUAAAAUGAAGCUGCUGGCGGCAAUUACAGUAUCAAUUCUAAUUACGCCAUCUAAAAAGCAUAUGUUAUCUAAAUGAUUUGGAGUCUUUUGUCAGUGGUGUAGUUUCCAACUGAAGCUUAAUAAAGCUGGCUUUAAACUAAGAUUUCCUUAAGUAUGCUAGGUUAUGAAUGUAUUAUUGGUGUUUAAAAAUCAACCAAAUUUAAACUACACAAAAUUUAAAUAAUAAAGGGCAUAUAGUUUGAUGUUUCUAUGUAUUUAAAUCUUUAUUACUGUCUAUCAGUAGUAUAAAGAACAAAACACUGAUGAACUAUAAAUAUCUAGGGAUUGCUAGUAGUUAUGAAUUUAAGCCAUUAAUUUAUCUCGAACUGAUUUUGUUUACUAUUAACAUUACUGUUAAUUUCAUAACAGUCAUUUAUGCUCUUUUUAGAGUGAAACUUUUUGCCAUUAAUGAGAGUAUUAGGAACAGGCAAUUACUACUACAAUUUAUCCACUCACUCUUUCCAUAUAAUUGAAUGCCUAAAUUGUCCAGGAACUGUUUUCAAGUAUGGGGAUGCAGGAGGAUACAUAAUAUCUGCUGCAAAGGGAAAAAAAAAAAAAAAAAAGCAGGAGGAUAAGGGAAUGCAGAGGGGGACAAAGGGUUGCAGGUUAAAAUAGGUGACAAGGACAGGCUCACUGAGAAGACGACUUUUGGGCAAUAACCAGAAAGGUACAGAGGACCAUGAGGAUAUCCAAGAGAAAAGUGCUCCAGACACAAGAAAAACAAUGUUCAAAGCUCCUAUGGGAAACAUGCCUGAAGUAUUCAAAUAACUACAAGUGUGGCCAAUGUGACUCUUGGGAGGGAAGCAGAAGGCAAAGACUAGAGGGUCAGAUAGCAUAACACCGUGUGAACCAAUAUAAGGACUUUUGAGUUUUUACUGAGUCAAAUAUGAAGCCACUGAAGGGUUUUCAGCAGAGGAGUGUAAUGAUUAAGAUUUUUUAAAAACAGGAUCACUCUGUUCCACUCUUGACAACAGACUAUAGGUCUGGUGAGGUAAAGGCAGGAGCAGAGCCAAAAGGCGAUAAUCUAGGCAAGCAAUGAUGCGGCUUAGACCAGACAGCAGGCAGUGGAGGAUGGAGUACCUGAAUGCAAAAUCUAUUUUAAAGUUAAUACGAGUGGGAUUUCCUGAUAAAUAUGGGGUAUUAAUGAAAAAGAGAAACAUAGGAUUCCAAAAUUUUUGGCCUAAGCAAAAAGAAAGAUGGAGUUGUCAUUUACUGACACAGAAUGGAAGAGAAAUAGGUUUUGAAAGAAAAAUCAGGAUUUUUAAGCAUGCUAAACCUAAGAUGCCUAGAAAAUACCAAGUGGAGAUAGUGAAGUGCAGGUAGAUAUAUGAUUUUGGAGUUCAGAUAAAAGAAGAGAUACAAACUCUAGAAUCAAAACAUAUGGUAUCAUGUCAGUAGACUGGUUAAGCUCAUCAGGGAAGUGAGUAAGUUUACAGUAGUGGUCCAAGGUCUAGACCCUGAGGCCAUUCAAUAUUUAGAGGUAGGGGAUAUGAAGAGACAUCAGCAAUGAAGACUGAAAAAGAAGAGAUUAGUGAUAGUGCAGGGAAAGCAGAAGAGUAUGGUGUCCUGGAAGCCAAGGUGGGGAAAAAAAAAAAAAGAUUUUCAAGCAGGAGGAAAUAAUCAUCUGUGCCCCUGUAAGUCAGGUAGAACAAAGACACAGAACUGGUCACUGGAAGCAGUGUAAUGGUUACUAGUGACCUCAACAAGAGUUUCUUUGAUGGGGGUGGUGAUGGUGGGAAAAACCUCUUAAUGAAUUGAGUUCAACACAGAACAGGGGGAGGUCGGUGGGGUGGGCAGCACUAUGGACAAGUCUGUCAAGGGUACAUAAAACAUGAUUAGAGAAAACUAGUUUGUUUUCUAGUUAAAUACAAGAGAUUAAUUAUUUACCUUAUUCUCUUCUCCCUUCAAAAUCUCCCCCAAAAUGACAAUAAAAGAAUGAGAGGUAUUAAAUCAAGUCAAAGCAUAAAAGAGAAGACAACAAUGAGACUUUUAGAAGGAGUAAAAAAGCAAAUGAAUGUGAGGUAACUGACUUAGCAGAGGUGAUUAUACCUAAGACUGGGAUUCUGACAGCUGUUUACACUGCAGAACUCUUGAAAGGCCCAGCAUGAAAGCAUUAGGCACCACAACUUGUAGCCAGGUACAGUACACAGAAACGAGGCAAAUAAAAAAGGCAAUGGCAAUACCAGGAAAACCAGAAAGUUAUAUGUGAAAUGAACAACAGGGAAGAAAGAAAUAAUAUUUACACAGUCACAAUAAUGCAAACAUUUUCAGUGACGUGACUAAAAAUUAGACCACAAGGAGAUCAAAAGGAGAUCAAACCAGUCAAUCCUAAAGGAAACCAGUCCUGAAUA